CAUGCAAGUCGAGCGGAGAGAGGUAGCUUGCUACUGAUCUUAGCGGCGGACGGGUGAGUAAUGCUUAGGAAUCUGCCUAUUAGUGGGGGACAACAUUUCGAAAGGAAUGCUAAUACCGCAUACGUCCUACGGGAGAAAGCAGGGGAUCUUCGGACCUUGCGCUAAUAGAUGAGCCUAAGUCGGAUUAGCUAGUUGGUGGGGUAAAGGCCUACCAAGGCGACGAUCUGUAGCGGGUCUGAGAGGAUGAUCCGCCACACUGGGACUGAGACACGGCCCAGACUCCUACGGGAGGCAGCAGUGGGGAAUAUUGGACAAUGGGCGCAAGCCUGAUCCAGCCAUGCCGCGUGUGUGAAGAAGGCCUUAUGGUUGUAAAGCACUUUAAGCGAGGAGGAGGCUACUUUAGUUAAUACCUAGAGAUAGUGGACGUUACUCGCAGAAUAAGCACCGGCUAACUCUGUGCCAGCAGCCGCGGUAAUACAGAGGGUGCAAGCGUUAAUCGGAUUUACUGGGCGUAAAGCGCGCGUAGGCGGCUAAUUAAGUCAAAUGUGAAAUCCCCGAGCUUAACUUGGGAAUUGCAUUCGAUACUGGUUAGCUAGAGUGUGGGAGAGGAUGGUAGAAUUCCAGGUGUAGCGGUGAAAUGCGUAGAGAUCUGGAGGAAUACCGAUGGCGAAGGCAGCCAUCUGGCCUAACACUGACGCUGAGGUGCGAAA
RNAcentral lists this ribosomal RNA (710 nucleotides) under Acinetobacter sp. 4D-W-24. Its description in RNAcentral is "bacterial SSU rRNA". It matches the Rfam family "Bacterial small subunit ribosomal RNA", at positions 54 to 758 of the family's 1533-position model. RNAcentral also lists the same sequence under 4 other names. The record is from RNAcentral. Lineage: Bacteria; Pseudomonadati; Pseudomonadota; Gammaproteobacteria; Moraxellales; Moraxellaceae.